AUCAGAAAUUUUGUGUUUCAAAUUUUGGUUUCGUCACUCGUUCUUCACCUCGAUAGAGGUUUUUUAUUUGAUCGACAGUUACAACGCACAUUGAUCGGAGCAUUUGGAAUAGAAGAGGAGCUAAUGUCAAGAGUAAAACCUUACUACAAAAAAUGGAAAUUAGACCUCGAAUGCACCGUGACUUGGCAUCGUGACAUUGGUGGCUAAGAACAUUCUACUGAAAGGACUAUGGACAUUGCUUGGACUUCCAAUACCAUGCUGCAAUCAACCGAUAUUGGAAUCAAAUCAACGCCGAUGCCGCCGUCUUCGACGACGAUAACGACGUGGACAUAUCCGGGACCGAGUUCGAAUAGCAGCCAACUAAUCAUCACAAUACCAUACAAUAAAAUAAAAAAAAAAUCAUAAGUAACAUUUGUUACGUAACUGCUAUCCCGAAUAUGUUGGUUAGUUAUGCACAAAAAAAGUCAUUUCCCAUUUGGUUGAGAUGGCUGUGCGGGAGUACAAACGGAGCGUUUUUCCAUUAUAUGGGAAACACCCAUAUGUAUAAGUUUUCGGACAUUGUGAAGGUACUGGAGAGAUCAAAAUGCGGUUACACAUAGUCGGAGUUAAAAAGGGUUUUUUGUGCCAAAAAAAUUCUCAUCAAAAUCAGUCCUGAAAUUAUAAUCAUUUAUAUAAAACAAAACCAUAUGGACUAUAUUAUUCAAAAAAAAACAUUUGGCGAGCGGCAACGAAACUCGAUAAAAACGGAAGUGAUUAAACAUUUAGGAAAAAAAAACAACAACAUAUUUUACGUUCAUUUCAAAAUUCGGCUUAGAUCAUUUUAUG
This is a long non-coding RNA of Contarinia nasturtii (swede midge), 825 nucleotides long. RefSeq lists it as uncharacterized. NCBI's taxonomy places the organism in Eukaryota, Metazoa, Arthropoda, Insecta, Diptera, Cecidomyiidae. The record is from RefSeq and is a predicted model, not a curated record. The transcript is spliced from 3 exons.